GGACUACAGGGGUAUCUAAUCCCGUUUGCUCCCCUAGCUUUCGCACCUCAGCGUCAGUCAUGGACCAGAGAGCCGCCUUCGCCACCGGUGUUCCUCCUGAUAUCUACGCAUUUCACCGCUCCACCAGGAGUUCCGCUCUCCCCUACCAUCCUCUAGCACCGCAGUCUGCCAGGCAGUUCCACGGGUAAGCCGUGGGAUUUCACCCAACACUUGCGGCGCCGCCUACGUGCGCUUUAAGCCCAGUAAUUCCGAACAACGUUUGCACUCUCUGUAUUACCGCGGCUGCUGGCAC
This 292-nucleotide ribosomal RNA is filed under the name uncultured bacterium. RNAcentral's name for it is "partial 16S ribosomal RNA". The record is from RNAcentral.